UGAGGGAGACGAGAAUUUGUGAGU
RNAcentral lists this non-coding RNA (24 nucleotides) under Rattus norvegicus (Norway rat). Lineage: Eukaryota; Metazoa; Chordata; Mammalia; Rodentia; Muridae. The record is from RNAcentral.